CAAACACACACGCUGUGAGCUAAUCCAUUUGAUCACCCCACUGCCAGCCUCUGCUUUGAAAAACACCGUAGAAACUCGACACUUUACAUACGCGUAGUCACACAAACAUGCAUCACGCCCCACUGAGUACCACUAGUAGGACCCCGUCAUCCACACACAAUGCAGCUGCUGCUUCAAUCAUCUCAGCAGAUCUGUUUUGCAAAGCGUCCGGCACAUUGUUGGUUGGUUUCUGACUGUGUGUUUGUGGAGCAGCUGCGUGUCUUAUGGGAGGGCUGGAGGAUUUCUAAUCACAGCCAGAUACAGCACAGCCACACCUGCCAGAACACAAAAUCACAUACACCAAACCAGCAAUUAAGAGGCUCCUUCAUCCACACAUUGCAAAAACCCCUCAUCCAGAUAGCAGCAUUUUAAUCUGUCUUUUGAUCUUUUUAUGUCUUCACAGAAAUUCCUUCAGUAGGUCCAGUCUCCGUAGGGGGGACUGUUGAAAGCACAGCAGACCUCGUCAACGGAGAGGAAACCGAGAGCUUGAGACAUACUCUUGAUUUCAGCUGGUCUGUCUGUCUCCCCCACCCCUUCACACACCAACAGUCUAUCCUCAACACUCACACCAUCCUCCUCCAUCUCCCUAGCUUGUUAUUCCAACCCCCCCCUCUGUCUCUCACACUCUUAUAGGAAAAGCUCCCUCUGUUUAUACUGGAAGUUUAUCUGCACUGUAAACAUAGUCGUUUGGACCAUCUCUCUUUGUCCUGGGCAUUUACAGAGACCAGCUUUCAGGAGGAGUCUCUCUGCAUUGAGGAGGACCCAGAAUGAUGCCUCUCCCUCUCUGUUCAUCUGCGCUCAGUUUAAAUGUAGCUUUUCCUGAACUGGAGAAUCCAAAACAGCUCCUAGGUGCUUCCCUAAUUGUGUGUUUGUUUUGGGCCACGUUUGAAUGUGUGCGCUUGGAAGUUUGUGUUUGACUGUGUGUCUUGCCCCGACUGCACAGGAUAUAGGCUUCUUUCCAUUUGCUUGUGUAUGUGUCAUGUUUGCUGUGGACGGGCCUGGGUGGUUACACUGUGUGGUCUAGCAGGCCUGUUUCGUGGCCUUAGUGAAUUUGUGUGUGAUUUAUUUUUUUGGUGGGGGACCAGUUGCUGCCAGACGUAGUCAUUAAAUGUUCCCGGGGAGUCGUUCUGUAACCAACGAUCCUCAUACCAAAUAACUGACAUUCUUUCACUACUGACUUCUCCCUUUCAUACACCCUGUAUCAGGACAGGAAUUCAUUAUGAAGAAGUAUGACAUUUUGAUCAUUAGAGGCCCACCUGCUCUAGAUCAACAUACAAUGAACACAUUGUAGGUUGGAGAGAUGUGGCUUUGGGAAGAGAGGGAGCCUUACAAAUGGUCUCUGGUGACACUGUGAAAUGUUAUUUUUUUUACUGCACUGACCAAAAACACUGUCACAUCACUGAUGUUCACAUGGUGAGCACUGCUAGACUGGCAGUGACAUUUUCUCUCUCGCUCUCUCUCUCUCGCUCUCUCUCUGUGUGUGUGUGUUGACAAACACUCCACAUGUUCUGGAAUGAAUCUUCAACCCUGUGGUUGGUGGAAACAUGUAAUGUAGGUUUUUUUUUAAACUACUGUAUUGGACUGCGUUUCCUUUAUUGUAUUGCACUAUACUGUAUUCACACUGCCGCACCUACGUACCAACGUCUGUAACUACUGUAUUUCCUCUGUUUAUUGUAUUUUCACAAGGCUUGUCUAAAACUGCAUUUUUUUUUACCAGUCAGGAAAAUAACUACUUUUUUUAUUUAUUCACUUUUCUUUUUUUUUGUACUGCUUUCUAUUAAAAUGUUCUCUCAAUCUUAAGUCUGCUUUUAUCAGUGCUGAUUAAUAUACAAUGUAUUGGGAAAGUAUUCAGACCCCUUGACUUUUUCCACCAUUUGUUACAUUACAGCCUUGUUCUAAAAGAGAUCAAAUGAGUUUUUUUCCCUUUUCAACCUAUACACAAUACCUCAUAAUGACAAAGAAAAAAUGGUUUUGAUCCAUUUUUGCAAAUG
Oncorhynchus tshawytscha (Chinook salmon) is the source of this 2030-nucleotide long non-coding RNA. Lineage: Eukaryota; Metazoa; Chordata; Actinopteri; Salmoniformes; Salmonidae. The record is from Ensembl.